AUUGAACGCUGGCGGCAUGCCUAACACAUGCAAGUCGAACGAAAGGCGGACGGGUGAGUAAUGUCUGGGCAACUGCCUGAUGUAGGGCGAUAACGACGGGAAACGGUAGCUAAUACCGCAUACCACCAGUUAUGCCGAGAUGGGAUUAUCUUGUUGGUGGGGUAACGGCUCACCAAGACGACGAUCCCUAGCUGGUCUGAGAGGAUGACCAGCCACACUGGGACUGAGACACGGUCCAGACUCCUACGGGAGGCAGCAGUGGGGAAUAUUGCGCAAUGGGCGAAAGCCUGAUCCAGCCAUGCCGCGUGUGUGAAGAAGGUCUUCGGGUUGUAAAGUACUGUUGUCAGGGAGGCGUUACCCACAGAAGAAGCACCGGCUAACUCCGUGCCAGCAGCCGCGGUAAUAC
This 406-nucleotide ribosomal RNA is filed under the name uncultured bacterium. Its description in RNAcentral is "partial 16S ribosomal RNA". It matches the Rfam family "Bacterial small subunit ribosomal RNA", at positions 30 to 526 of the family's 1533-position model. The record is from RNAcentral.